RNAcentral lists this long non-coding RNA (1160 nucleotides) under Callithrix jacchus (white-tufted-ear marmoset). Its description in RNAcentral is "lncRNA (ENSCJAG00000079636.1)". The record is from RNAcentral. Lineage: Eukaryota; Metazoa; Chordata; Mammalia; Primates; Cebidae.
GUAUACAUAUUCUCAAUGGCUACAGAAAAAGUAUUUGAAAAAAAUCCAUUGAUAAUAAAAGUGCUUAUGAAAAGAAGAAUGGAACUUUCUUAUCAUGGGAAAGAUGUUUACAAAGUAACUAUAGCAAAUGUCAUUUUUAAGUUAAUAUAGUGAAAUAUUUCUCUUUAGCAUCUUAUGGACAAAACAAGAUGCCGUUUACUACUUUUAUUCAACAGUGUACUGGAGCUUCUAAUCAGUGUCAUAAGACAGAAAAAAGAAAUUAAAGGUAUUAGAAUUGGAAAGGAAUAAACAAACAUCAUUAUUUUCAGAUGAUAUGAUUGCCUAUGUAGCAAUUCUGAAAGAGGCUACAGGUAAAUUUAGAAAUAGUACUUUUCUCAAGUUUGAUAUAUAAUAUAUGAGAGGCAAAUGAAUUUCUAUAUGCUAGCAACAAUAAGCUAUAAAAUAUAACUUUACAAAAGAAUGUACAAUAGCAGUAAAAAGAUAGGGUGCCUAGAAAUUUAACAAAAACUGAGCAAAAAGAAAAUAAAAAAUAGUACAAAACAUUAAAGAUGACCUAAAUAAAUAGCAUCAUAUCAUGUUCAUCGAGGAAGAGAUCCCAUAUCUUAGAAGUAAUGUCUGCCCACAAUGAUUUAUAGAGUGCAAUGGUUUGAAUGUGUUCCUCACAAAGCAGGUGCUGGAAACUUAAUCUCCAAUGCAACUGUGUUGAAGGGUGGGCUUAUUGAGAGACAAUCAAGCCAUGAGGGCAGAGUGAAAUCAAUUAAUGCCAUUACUGUGGGAGUGAGUUCAUCAUAAAAAGCGGCAUUCACCCUCCUUUUACUCCCUCUCUUUCGCCCUUUCUCUACCUUUAUGCCAUGGAAUGACACAGUAAGAAGGCUCUUGCCAGAUGCCAGCCACACAAUCUUGGACUUCCCAGCCUUCAGAACUCUUCUUCUAGAGGUUGCCCACUUUCCCUGGCUUGCAGCCCUUUUCUUCGUCUUCAAAGUCAGCGAUCUCACGGCUCCAGACUCUGCUUCUGUGUCACAUCUCCUUCACUGAAUCUCCUGCUUCCCUCUUUCACUUAGAAGGACCAUGUGAUUUCAUUGGACCUAUCCAGAAAAUCUAGAAAAUUUCCCAUCUCAAGGUCAGCUAAUUAGCAGCUUUCAUUCUGUCUGCAAUCUUAA